This 253-nucleotide ribosomal RNA is filed under the name uncultured bacterium. RNAcentral describes it as "partial 16S ribosomal RNA". It matches the Rfam family "Bacterial small subunit ribosomal RNA", at positions 524 to 776 of the family's 1533-position model. The record is from RNAcentral.
UACGCAGGGGGCUAGCGUUGCUCGGACUUACUGGGCGUAAAGCGCACGUAGGCGGUCUUUUAAGUCGGGGGUGAAAUCCUGGAGCUCAACUCCAGAACUGCCUUCGAUACUGGAAGACUUGAGUCCGGGAGAGGUGAGUGGAACUGCGAGUGUAGAGGUGAAAUUCGUAGAUAUUCGCAAGAACACCAGUGGCGAAGGCGGCGCACUGGCCCGGUACUGACGCUGAGGUGCGAAAGCGUGGGGAGCAAACAGG